GAGUAUUAUUGACAGUCUGCGAACCGUUACGGGGACAAUAGGUUCUCUACAAAAAUUGGGUUUUGAGCAUGUGUAGGGCCUACACAAGAUUCAGCAGACUACACGUAAACAAACUAUGUUCCUUUAUACUUCUACCUUACAUCGCACAGAGCUCAAGAGUACUCCCUACGUUUUAUUUAUGGUUUAGAGUCCAUGGGAAAGGAGGUGAUCGUCUAAAUGUUGACCUAUCAGCUAAAGAAUCAGCUUCUUACAAGACGACCCAUGCAUGCAUCUUCUUAUUGAUAUCUCCCCGUGGCUUUCAGCUUCAACCCUUACAAACAGAGGUGACAAACAAUAUCUUGGCAGGAAUUAAAACCGUAAGGACAUAUCUCUAGAUACAACCUCCGUGUAUCAUCUCAUCUAUGUUCCGAUGGUCAUUAUUUAGUCAUGUUUCGUGACGUCAACAAUCGCUUAGUCAAUCUGGUUCGGAGGUUACGAGGGGACGAUCAGGAGGCGAUUAGCUCCGAUAAUCCUGUGCAGAUUCAGAGCGAUCAGACAAGUCUACUUGUAGAGAAUGACACCUAUGUCAUAAAGAAAACACCAAGAACAGACCAAGGAAUCAAUGAAAAGACGAGGAAGCAAAUCAACAAACGAAAAGAAAAUGAUUUUUCUAAACAUAAAAGUGCCGCCGAUGUAAAGAACAGGGAGAAUAACGCAAAUACGAUCUUAGAAAGCCGAGGUACGAACGAUGAUGUGGAUGUUUAUGGGGUACCCGGUGGCCCACUGGAUGAAAUAUUCCCAGCAAGGACUUGUGUUGCAUCAUCUAACCGGUCCCAAGGGUCAGGGUCGUCAGAGCUAAGGGUUUUUGAUUGGUUUAACUUCUGACAGGGGUUCUCUUACAUCUUCUAAGAAUAUAUAAAGCGGGAAAAUAUAUCCCUAUUUACAGAUGCGACGAUUUUAUUAUUAAAAAUGCGCAGGAAUCGGUCAUCAUAUAGCGAUACACAAAAACAGACAUAACAUCUGAUAAGAACCAGAAGAAUGUUAAAUAAUUUAAUUUAGCAUAUCAUUUACAACCUUCUGCCUCUUAGCAGACGAUGCAUGUAAUAUAUUUACUUAUAUCGGAGUGUAGGCUGUGUUCAAAUCGAAAGAACAUCCACAUUCUAAGGCAGGAAGUAAGGGAAGUUAUAAAGAUCAAGUUAGUACCGAUUUAAAAUAUAUCAAUUAUAUUCAAAUUAUGGAUCCUGCCAAUAAAUGACUUCCUUUACGUCGGAUGCCGUAACAAGUAUAGUAUAGGUUGGAUCUUUCAGCAACAAAGAAUGGCAGUUUCCAUUAUAUAUCAGAUUACCGUUACAAAUGUCUAAGAAAUUACAAACCGUUCCAAAUGAGUAGUAUACCUUCAAAUAUUUUUGUUGUUAAAGUAACCAGCACGCAAAAAAAAAAAAAAAAAAAAAUCAAAUCAAAUUGGCACAUUCUAUGUCCUUCUUGGAACAUACUUUUGACUCAAAAGAUGUCAUUUUGUUGGCAAAAGAUUAAUUUUUCCAUUACAAAUUUAAUGAAAAUAUAUACAUAAAUAAAUUUUGUAUGUGGAUUUUUGUUUAAGUGUAUGUUUAUUUAUGAAUAUACAGUAUUUGAGGGUAUGCAUUUCUGUCAGUGGCAUUAUAUAGAUUAGAAAGGUUUUGGCAGAAAGAAAAGACAUUGGGUAUAAUUAAUCAGCCAACAUUAUUACCAACUUUAUCAACACAAAGUGGCAUAUCCAGCAUAAGAUUAACACAGUUCUAAUUUGUUUUUGUCUUCUUAUUUUUUAAAAUUAAUUUUUAUCGCAAAUAAGAUUGCUCAUUUUAAAUAUAAAUUGAGAGAUGUCAUUUGUAUGCAUCUUAAAUUUUCUACAUAAAUGUGGCAUUUUACACAAAAUAGCAGAAAUAUUGAACUUGAUGGGGUAGGGGAGGGGAGGGGAGGGGUAGUAAUUGUGCAUUACUCGAGCUUCCAGGUCUGUUUCACAUAUUGGUUUUAAAAACUAUUCUGAAAUGAAUAUGUGUCACCUAAAGCAAUGAAUGUGUAUAUAUAUAUGAAUAAUUUGUUAAUCAUUGUGUUAUAGAAGGAACUCAUAAGUGGCACGUUAUUCUUUUUCUCUAAAAAUGUUAAUCAGUAGUUGUUAAUCUUCUUGAAAAAUAUUAGUUUUCUUACGUAUAUUUGGAUCAUCAAAAAUCAGUUCAUUACGAGUAGAAAAAUUAUCUGUUUUGGUAAGCUUUCUCUUGCUGUGCUGAAAGCUGCAUCAGCAACAGCGCCAGCUAUGACAUAAGUUUGAAGAAGUUUGCAGAACAGAAAGUGAAAGUUUACCAAAAGAGGUAAUUUUUCUACUCAUAGAGAAGACAAAAAUAAUUUUCAAGAGACAUCACCAAUCAGAAGAACCUCUUCAGUGUUUGGAUCAUUUCAAACGCAGUAAAUCUAUGUUGCAGACUUGUUACUUUUACAAAGAUAGCCUAAAUAGAAGGAAAACAAAUAAAUGAUUUUAAAACAUGCUUUCAAAUCAAACUGAACGAAAUAAAGCAUGGAAAGGUAAUUAUCAUAAUUUGAUAUGCUUCGUUUACAAAUAAUCAGACAUUGUGUUCUGCAGCCGGAAAUUUAUGCUCUUAAUAAGAAAGUACUAUUUUGUUACAUACACUUUUAUUGUAUGUAUGCAAUAAAUUUGUUGAUUUCAUGAAAG
Molecule: long non-coding RNA, 2683 nt
Organism: Strongylocentrotus purpuratus (purple sea urchin)
Lineage: Eukaryota; Metazoa; Echinodermata; Echinoidea; Camarodonta; Strongylocentrotidae
Exons: 2
Source: RefSeq, a predicted model, not a curated record